This 97-nucleotide microRNA precursor is filed under the name Clunio marinus. Its description in RNAcentral is "mir-1 microRNA precursor family". It matches the Rfam family "mir-1 microRNA precursor family". Rfam says of the family: This family represents the microRNA (miRNA) mir-1 family. miRNAs are transcribed as ~70nt precursors (modelled here) and subsequently processed by the Dicer enzyme to give a ~22nt product. In this case the mature sequence comes from the 3' arm of the precursor. The extents of the hairpin precursors are not generally known and are estimated based on hairpin prediction. The record is from Rfam by way of RNAcentral. Lineage: Eukaryota; Metazoa; Arthropoda; Insecta; Diptera; Chironomidae.
UAGACAGUUCCAUGCUUCCUUGCAUUCGAUAGUAAAUCUUUUUCGCAAGAAGAAAAUAAAUCAACAUAUGGAAUGUAAAGAAGUAUGGAGCAAUCUG